GCUAAACGCGAAGAACCUUACCUACCUUUGAAUCCACGGAACCUAGCAGAGAUGUUGGGUGCCUUCGGGAACCGUGAGACAGGUGCUGCAUGGCUGUCGUCAGCUCGUGUCGUGAGAUGUUGGGUUAAGUCCCGUAACGAGCGCAACCCUUGUCCUUAGUUGCCAUCAGGUUAUGCUGGGCACUUUAAGGAGACUGCCGGUGAUAAACCGGAGGAAGGUGGGAUGACGUCAAGUCCUCAUGGCCCUUACAGGUAGGGCUACACACGUGCUACAAUGGGCAGUACAGAGGGAAGCCAACCCGCGAGGGGGAGCGAAUCUCAUAAAGCUGUUCGUAGUCCGGAUUGGAGUCUGCAACUCGACUCCAUGAAGUUGGAAUCGCUAGUAAUCGCGGAUCAGAAUGCCGCGGUGAAUACGUUCCCGGGUCUUGUC
This 429-nucleotide ribosomal RNA is filed under the name uncultured bacterium. RNAcentral describes it as "bacterial SSU rRNA". It matches the Rfam family "Bacterial small subunit ribosomal RNA", at positions 954 to 1384 of the family's 1533-position model. The record is from RNAcentral.